UAAAAUUAAGCAAAUUGUAACGAUGCUAAAUACUUCCAGACACUUGCUUGGAAUUAGAGCUUGUUUAAUUGGGUUUCUUUUCUAGAUGGUAACAUAUUUUCUGAUGAGGCGGGAAAAUUCUCUCUUGCAAACAGGGAUUAACAAGUCGGGAAACCGGAACCUGGACGCUUCAGGAAUAGAGGCAGGCGAUUGUAAUCUUGAUACCGGAAGCUCGAAAAGGAACCCAUUUUAUCGCAAAUCUUUCAGAACAAUUACCCUGAUAUCUUUCGUACCAAAAAUAAUGGAGAAGGUACUGGACAAC
Molecule: long non-coding RNA, 301 nt
Organism: Hermetia illucens (black soldier fly)
Lineage: Eukaryota; Metazoa; Arthropoda; Insecta; Diptera; Stratiomyidae
Exons: 3
Source: RefSeq, a predicted model, not a curated record